Molecule: long non-coding RNA, 247 nt
Filed under: Vigna radiata
Lineage: Eukaryota; Viridiplantae; Streptophyta; Magnoliopsida; Fabales; Fabaceae
Description: long non-coding RNA (VRAD_LNC015682)
Source: RNAcentral
GUAGGACGGUCAAUUGUAGUUGCUUCCGAUCGCAUUGCAUUAUUGGUUACUAGGGGAGGCUAGGGAUAGCAAGCCAGUAAUUAAUAAUAGGCUCUUUUCACCAAGGGAUUGGGUUAAGGGUAAAUAAGAAAGUGUGCAUGGCAAUUAGAUAAAUAAGUGAAGUAAAUAAGAAGAGUAGAUAUAUGAGAGUGGAUAAGAUGAAAUUGUAAACCCCAACAACACCAUUCAUCCAUAGUUUCUCAAAACC